ACUAUAGAGCAGGCUUCCCCAAACUCAGGCCCUCCAGAUGUUGCUGAACAACAACCAUGAUUAUAUGAAUGAAAUAGAUAGGCUGAGAAUCAUGGGAGUUGUAGUUCAGCAACAUCUGGAGGGCCGGAGUUUGGGGAAGCCUGUUAUAGAGC
Molecule: non-coding RNA, 152 nt
Organism: Pelobates cultripes (western spadefoot toad)
Lineage: Eukaryota; Metazoa; Chordata; Amphibia; Anura; Pelobatidae
Source: the annotation of a GenBank genome assembly